RNAcentral lists this small RNA (88 nucleotides) under Salmonella enterica. Its description in RNAcentral is "partial RtT sRNA". It matches the Rfam family "RtT RNA", at positions 1 to 87 of the family's 130-position model. Rfam says of the family: This family represents a bacterial cis-regulatory element known as RtT RNA. The exact function of RtT is unknown although it is thought that it may be involved in changing the cellular response in relation to amino acid starvation. RNAcentral also lists the same sequence under 2 other names. Lineage: Bacteria; Pseudomonadati; Pseudomonadota; Gammaproteobacteria; Enterobacterales; Enterobacteriaceae. The record is from RNAcentral.
AUUCUACCCAUGUGGGGAAGGAUGAGAAGCUUCGACUAAGGUUCGAUUCGAGCGCAGCGAGAAAGCGUUGCCGCAGGCAACGACCCGA